AUUGAACUUUGAACUGAUGUCAAGAAAACUUGUUCCAUUCUGAUAAUUUUCAUUACUGGAAUUUCCAUAAACUUUCCUCUUUUCUUCACUCCUCUUUUUAUCAAAUACUUAUUUGUUAUUUUGGGGUAAAUCAAUCUGUAGAAAAUCAGCUAAGGGAGCUACCAUUUGAUUUUUAUGGGGGGGCUAGGAUGAAAAAUGUUGGCCUGCAUUUCUUUUUAGUUGUAAUCUCUGUCCUGUUUUUUUAUUUUUAACUCUUUUCAGUCCUGCUUAUUUUUUUUUUAUAUAAAUGACAUCCUUUUUUUUAUUUUUUUGCUAAGUUUUUCAUCCAGUCUUUUUUUCUCUCUCAAAUCUCAUGUCCUGCCUUUUUUGUUUUGUUUUUAAAGUAUAUCCUUAAGUGCCGCCCCCCCCCCCCCACCCCCUAAAAAAUAUAUCAAAUCAAACAGUAGCUCCCUUAUACUUCAAAUUUAAUUUCCAUUUUGAAAAAAGUCCAGAUAAAGUUGUAGAGUUAAAUAAAGAGUAUUGUGGCGUAAUUUCAGCACUUACAACUCUAAGUGUGGUAACAGUGCUUUAAAAUGCUGCCAGAGAAGCUGAAACCCCAGGCUUAAACUUUCAUUUAAAGUUUUGACAAUUUCUUCAGGAAACUUAUGUACUUUGUUUUAGCAGACUUUUGAACUUUGAACUAAUCUGCAGGAAAAACAAUGAUUUUUUUC
Molecule: long non-coding RNA, 710 nt
Filed under: Mytilus galloprovincialis (Mediterranean mussel)
Lineage: Eukaryota; Metazoa; Mollusca; Bivalvia; Mytilida; Mytilidae
Source: RNAcentral